AGUGAACGCUGGCGGUAGGCCUAACACAUGCAAGUCGAACGGCAGCACAGUAAGAGCUUGCUCUUACGGGUGGCGAGUGGCGGACGGGUGAGGAAUACAUCGGAAUCUACUUUUUCGUGGGGGAUAACGUAGGGAAACUUACGCUAAUACCGCAUACGACCUACGGGUGAAAGCAGGGGAUCUUCGGACCUUGCGCGAUUGAAUGAGCCGAUGUCGGAUUAGCUAGUUGGCGGGGUAAAGGCCCACCAAGGCGACGAUCCGUAGCUGGUCUGAGAGGAUGAUCAGCCACACUGGAACGGAAACACGGUCCAGACUCCUACGGGAGGCAGCAGUGGGGAAUAUUGGACAAUGGGCGCAAGCCUGAUCCAGCCAUACCGCGUGGGUGAAGAAGGCCUUCGGGUUGUAAAGCCCUUUUGUUGGGAAAGAAAAGCAGCAGGUUAAUACCCCGCUGUUCUGACGGUACCCAAAGAAUAAGCACCGGCUAACUUCGUG
RNAcentral lists this ribosomal RNA (492 nucleotides) under uncultured bacterium. RNAcentral describes it as "partial 16S ribosomal RNA". It matches the Rfam family "Bacterial small subunit ribosomal RNA", at positions 29 to 507 of the family's 1533-position model. The record is from RNAcentral.